GCUCAACCGGGGAGGGUCAUUGGAAACUGGGGAACUUGAGUGCAGAAGAGGAGAGUGGAAUUCCACGUGUAGCGGUGAAAUGCGUAGAGAUAUGGAGGAACACCAGUGGCGAAGGCGACUCUCUGGUCUGUAACUGACGCUGAGGCGCGAAAGCGUGGGGAGCGAACAGGAUUAGAUACCCUGGUAGUCCACGCCGUAAACGAUGAGUGCUAAGUGUUAGAGGGUUUCCGCCCUUUAGUGCUGCAGCAAACGCAUUAAGCACUCCGCCUGGGGAGUACGGUCGCAAGACUGAAACUCAAAGGAAUUGACGGGGGCCCGCACAAGCGGUGGAGCAUGUGGUUUAAUUCGAAGCAACGCGAAGAACCUUACCAGGUUUUGACAUCCUCUGACAACCCUAGAGAUAGGGCUUCCCCUUCGGGGGCAGAGUGACAGGUGGUGCAUGGUUGUCGUCAGCUCGUGUCGUGAGAUGUUGGGUUAAGUCCCGCAACGAGCGCAACCCUUGAUCUUAGUUGCCAGCAUUCAGUUGGGCACUCUAAGGUGACUGCCGGUGACAAACCGGAGGAAGGUGGGGAUGACGUCAAAUCAUCAUGCCCCUUAUGACCUGGCUACACACGUGCUACAAUGGGCAGAACAAAG
Molecule: ribosomal RNA, 636 nt
Filed under: uncultured bacterium
Lineage: Bacteria
Description: bacterial SSU rRNA
Rfam family: Bacterial small subunit ribosomal RNA
Source: RNAcentral